RNAcentral lists this transfer RNA (73 nucleotides) under Astyanax sp. n. IRO-2020. Its description in RNAcentral is "tRNA-Asn". It matches the Rfam family "tRNA". From Rfam's summary of the family: Transfer RNA (tRNA) molecules are approximately 80 nucleotides in length. Their secondary structure includes four short double-helical elements and three loops (D, anti-codon, and T loops). Further hydrogen bonds mediate the characteristic L-shaped molecular structure. tRNAs have two regions of fundamental functional importance: the anti-codon, which is responsible for specific mRNA codon recognition, and the 3' end, to which the tRNAs corresponding amino acid is attached (by aminoacyl-tRNA synthetases). tRNAs cope with the degeneracy of the genetic code in two manners: having more than one tRNA (with a specific anti-codon) for a particular amino acid; and 'wobble' base-pairing, i.e. permitting non-standard base-pairing at the 3rd anti-codon position. Lineage: Eukaryota; Metazoa; Chordata; Actinopteri; Characiformes; Acestrorhamphidae. The record is from RNAcentral. RNAcentral also lists the same sequence under 1 other name.
UAGAUGGAUGCUCGCUGGAUAGGGCACUUAGCUGUUAACUAAGAAUUUGUAGGAUCGAGGCCUUCUCAUCUAG